CCAGAGAACUUAGCAGAGAUGCUUUGGUGCCUUCGGGGAACUCUGAGACAGGUGCUGCAUGGCUGUCGUCAGCUCGUGUUGUGAAAUGUUGGUUAAGUCCCGCAACGAGCGCAACCCUUAUCCUUUGUUGCCAGCGGCUCGGCCGGGAACUCAAAGGAGACUGCCGGUGAUAAACCGGAGGAAGGUGGGGAUGACGUCAAGUCAUCAUGGCCCUUACGGCCAGGGCUACACACGUGCUACAAUGGCGCAUACAAAGAGAAGCGACCUCGCGAGAGCAAGCGGACCUCAUAAAGUGCGUCGUAGUCCGGAUUGGAGUCUGCAACUCGACUCCAUGAAGUCGGAAUCGCUAGUAAUCGUAGAUCAGAAUGCUACGGUGAAUACGUUCCCGGGCCUUGUACACACCGCCCGUCACACCAUGGGAGUGGGUUGCAAAAGAAGUAGGUAGCUUAACCUUCGGGAGGGCGCUUACCACUUUGUGAUUCAUGACUGGGGUGAAGUCGUAACAAGGUAGGCGUAGCGAG
This 521-nucleotide ribosomal RNA is filed under the name uncultured bacterium. Its description in RNAcentral is "bacterial SSU rRNA". It matches the Rfam family "Bacterial small subunit ribosomal RNA", at positions 988 to 1509 of the family's 1533-position model. The record is from RNAcentral.